Molecule: RNA transcript, 1801 nt
Organism: Pangasianodon hypophthalmus (striped catfish)
Lineage: Eukaryota; Metazoa; Chordata; Actinopteri; Siluriformes; Pangasiidae
Gene: rae1
Gene name: ribonucleic acid export 1
Exons: 13
Source: RefSeq, a predicted model, not a curated record
CGUCACGGUUGAGCCUUGCAUGUAGUGUGGCAUCAUCAAUGUGCGCCUCAGAUUUGGUGCAGCGCACUCGUUUUCAUGGCGCGUCAAAAGUUCUGAGUUGGUGUUAAUUUGUGGGGCUUUCUUCCGUAUUUGCACGCUAUCUAUCUCAGUAAUUUACAAUGAGCUUGUUCGGCUCAAGUUCUGGAUUUGGGGCCGGAGGCACAGGCGUUUUCGGCAGCACCACAACAGACAGCCAUAAUCCAAUGAAGGAUGUGGAAGUGACGUCACCACCCGAUGACAGCAUAAGCUGCUUGGCCUUUAGCCCUCCAACAUUGCCUGGAAACUUUUUGAUUGGUGGCUCUUGGGCCAAUGAUGUGAGAUGCUGGGAGGUUCAGGAUAACGGCCAGACAGUCCCUAAAGCUCAGCAGAUGCACACAGGCCCUGUGCUGGAUGUCUGCUGGAGUGAUGAUGGAAGUAAAGUCUUUACAGCCUCCUGUGACAAAACUGCCAAGAUGUGGGAUCUGAACAGCAACCAGGCCAUGCAGAUAGCACAGCAUGAAGGUCCAAUCAGGACAAUACACUGGAUAAAAGCCCCAAACUACAGCUGUGUCAUGACGGGUAGUUGGGACAAAACACUGAAAUUUUGGGACACUCGCUCUCCAAACCCCAUGAUGUCCCUGCAGAUGCCAGAGAGAUGUUACUGUGCCGAUGUGGUGUAUCCUAUGGCUGUUGUGGCCACUGCAGAACGAGGGCUAAUCGUGUACCAGUUGGAGAAUCAGCCAUCGGAGUUCCGGCGUAUAGAUUCACCUCUGAAGCAUCAGCACCGCUGUGUGGCCAUCUUUAAGGACAAACAAAAUAAACCCACUGGAUUUGCACUGGGCAGUAUUGAGGGGCGAGUGGCCAUUCACUACAUUAACCCACCCAAUCCCGCCAAGGACAAUUUCACCUUCAAGUGCCAUAGAUCUAAUGGAACGAACACCGCCACACCCCAGGAUAUUUACGCUGUCAAUGCCAUCGCUUUCCAUCCAGUGCACGGCACGUUGGCCACGGUGGGCUCUGACGGCCGCUUCAGUUUCUGGGAUAAGGACGCUCGCACAAAGCUGAAAACCUCUGAGCAGCUUGAUCAGCCUAUCACAGCUUGCUGCUUCAACCACAACGGCAACAUCUUUGCCUACAGCUCCAGCUAUGAUUGGUCCAAGGGACAUGAGUACUACAACCCCCAGAAGAAGAACUACAUUUUUCUGCGAAAUGCUGCUGAGGAACUCAAGCCUCGGAACAAGAAAUGGUGAGAGUGGGAUUUCCGUUACCAUGGAGACGGUGUCUGUCGCCAGGCUUCGUUGUGGUCUCCUCUCUGUGCUGUUUUGACACUUGCCUUCUUCAGCAUCCAAGUAUGCUUUGCAUGAAGGAAAAAAGAUCCUGUCAAGCUGUUGCAUCUCGGAAGACCUGUGUUAGCAUGUAAAUACGGGAGAAAGGGAGAGAUCGUCUUAUGGCUAACAUCUGGACCAAUGACGUGGCAUUGCAUACAUUGUAUGGACCAAUCAGAAAGGGCCAGCCACUCCUACACGAUGGUGAUGACAGCAAAUUGCUUUGCGCUGCACAAGAGAAGUCAUGCUUUAGUGUCCUUGGUGAAUGUGGUUGUUUUUUGUUAUCCUUCCUAACUACAGCUUUUUUUUUUCUUUUUUUUUUUCUUUUUUUUUUAAUACUUCUUUCCAAAGCAAAAAAAAAAAAAAAAACCCACACGUUUCCACCACUUCUUUGCUGUCACAACAUGGUGUAGAUUAUAUUCUUUAUUCUGUGAAAUGAAUAAAUGUCUCAAACUCCA